AGGGCGUAUGGGGGAUGCCUUGGCUCUCAGAGGCGAUGAAGGGCGUGAUAAGCUGCGAAAAGCUACGGGGAUUGGCACACACGAAUUGAUCCGUAGAUAUCCGAAUGGGGCAACCCAAUACAUUGAAGAUGUAUUACACCGAUAGGUGGGCAAACCCGCUGAACUGAAACAUCUAAGUAGGCGGAGGAGAAGAAAACAAAAGUGAUUCCGUAAGUAGUGGCGAGCGAACGCGGAUUAGCCCAAACCAAUAAUGUUACGGCAUGAUUGGGGUUGUAGGACCACGACAUUUUAUGUACAAAGAAUUAGAAUUUACUGGAAAGUAAAGCCAAAGAAGGUGAUAGCCCUGUAUGAGUAAUGAGUAUAAUAAAUAGUGGUAUCCUGAGUAGGGCGGGACACGAGAAAUCCUGUCUGAAUUUGGCGGGACCAUCCGCUAAGGCUAAAUACUCCUGAGAGACCGAUAGUGAACCAGUACCGUGAGGGAAAGGUGAAAAGAACCGUGAAUAACGGAGUGAAAUAGAUCCUGAAACCAUACGCCUACAAGCGGUCGGAGCCCUUUAGUGGGGUGACGGCGUGCCUUUUGCAUAAUGAGCCUACGAGUUAACGUUGCUGGCAAGGAUAAGAACUUAAGGUUCGGAUCCGUAGCGAAAGCGAGUCUGAAUAGGGCGCUUUAGUCAGUAGUGUUAGACGCGAAACCGUGUGAUCUACCCAUGGGCAGGAUGAAGCGCUGGUAACACAGUGUGGAGGUCCGAACCGGUUGUCGUUGAAAAGACUUCGGAUGACUUGUGGGUAGGGGUGAAAGGCCAAUCAAACUCGGAAAUAGCUCGUACUCCCCGAAAUGCAUUUAGGUGCAGCGUUAUGUAUAAGUUAUAUAGAGGUAGAGCUACUGAUUGGAUGCGGGGGCUUCACCGCCUACCAAUUCCUGACAAACUCCGAAUGCUAUAUAAUGUUUCAUAACAGUGAGGGCUUGGGUGCUAAGGUCCAAGUCCGAGAGGGAAAGAACCCAGACCAUCAGCUAAGGUCCCCAAAUAUAUACUAAGUUGAAAUAACGAGGUUUGUCUGCCCAGACAGCUAGGAUGUUGGCUUGGAAGCAGCCAUUCAUUUAAAGAGUGCGUAACAGCUCACUAGUCGAGCGGACGAGCAUGGAUAAUAAUCGGGCAUAAGUAUAUUACCGAAGCUAUGGACACCCUCACCCCUUCGGGGUUGGGGGUUGUGGUAGGGGAGCAUUCUAACAGGGUUGAAGGUGAGUCGUAAGGCCUGCUGGACUGGUUAGAAAAGAAAAUGUAGGCAUAAGUAACGAUAAUGCGGGCGAGAAACCCGCACACCGAAAGACUAAGGUUUCCACAGCUAUGCUAAUCAGCUGUGGGUUAGUCGGGACCUAAGGCGAACCCGAAAGGGACAGUCGAUGGCCAACGGGUUAAUAUUCCCGUACUACUGUUAAUUGUGAUGGGGUGACGGAGUGAUGAAAGCGCCGCGAACUGACGGAAUAGUUCGUUGAAGUACCUACCUAUAGGAUCCGCAGGUAAAUCCACGGAUUUUGGGGAAAUACGAUAGUACUCGGAGACUUCGGUUGAAGAGAUAGUGCGCCUAAGUGCUUCCAAGAAAAACCUCUAAACUUCAGAUUAUAAGUACCCGUACCGCAAACCGACACAGGUAGUCGAGGAGAGAAUCCUAAGGUGCUCGAGAGAUUCAUGGCUAAGGAAUUAGGCAAAAUAGACCCGUAACUUCGGGAGAAGGGUCGCCCCUGAGUAAUCAGGGGCCGCAGUGAAGAGGUCCAGGCGACUGUUUAUCAAAAACACAGGGCUCUGCAAAAUCGUAAGAUGAAGUAUAGGGCCUGACACCUGCCCGGUGCUGGAAGGUUAAGAGGAGAUGUCAUGCCGCAAGGUAGAAGCAUUGAAUUGAAGCCCCAGUAAACGGCGGCCGUAACUAUAACGGUCCUAAGGUAGCGAAAUUCCUUGUCGGGUAAGUUCCGACCUGCACGAAUGGUGUAACGAUCUGGACACUGUCUCAGCCAUGAGCUCGGUGAAAUUGUAGUAACGGUGAAGAUGCCGUUUACCCGCAGUGGGACGAAAAGACCCUGUGCACCUUUACUAUAGCUUAGUAUUGACCUUGGAUAAAUGAUGUGUAGGAUAGGUUGGAGACUGUGAAGUGGCGUCGCUAGGCGUUGUGGAGUCAUUGUUGAAAUACAACCCUUUGUUUAUCUGAGGCCUAACCCCGCUUUGCGGGGGACAUUGCUUGGUGGGUAGUUUGACUGGGGUGGUCGCCUCCAAAAGAGUAACGGAGGCUUCUAAAGGUUCCCUCAGUACGCUUGGUAACCGUGCGUAGAGUGCAAUGGCAUAAGGGAGCUUGACUGAGAGACAUACAGGUCGAUCAGGUACGAAAGUAGAGCAUAGUGAUCCGGUGGUUCCGCAUGGAAGGGCCAUCGCUCAAAGGAUAAAAGGUACGCCGGGGAUAACAGGCUGAUCUCCCCCAAGAGCUCAUAUCGACGGGGAGGUUUGGCACCUCGAUGUCGGCUCGUCACAUCCUGGGGCUGGAGAAGGUCCCAAGGGUUCGGCUGUUCGCCGAUUAAAGUGGCACGCGAGCUGGGUUCAGAACGUCGUGAGACAGUUCGGUCUCUAUCUACUGUGGGCGCAAGAAAUUUGAGUGGAUCUGAUUCUAGUACGAGAGGACCGAAUUGGACUAACCUCUGGUGUAUCUGUUGUUCCGCCAGGAGCACCGCAGAGUAGCUACGUUGGGAAGGGAUAAGCGCUGAAAGCAUAUAAGCGCGAAACCCACCACAAGAUGAGAUUUCUUUU
This 2792-nucleotide ribosomal RNA is filed under the name metagenomes. RNAcentral describes it as "bacterial LSU rRNA". It matches the Rfam family "Bacterial large subunit ribosomal RNA". The record is from RNAcentral.